GAAUUGUUGAUCAGUUUUAAUUGUUUUUUUGUGGAAUCUUUAGGUCUUUCAGAAUUUAAGAUUAUAUCAUCUGCAAACAAGGAUAAUUUGACUUCUUCCUUUCUAAUUGGGAUACCAUUUAUUUCAUUCUCUUGUCUAACUGCUCUAGCUAAGACUUCUAGUACUAUGUUGAAUAACAGUCAUGAAUGUGGGCAUUCUUGUCAUGUUCCAGAUUUAAGAGGAAACACUCAGUUUUUCCACAUUCAGUUAAAUCUUAGUUGUGGGUCUGUCAUAUAUGGCUUUUGUUAUGCUGCAAUAUGUUCCUUCUAUACCAAGGUUUUUUUUGUCAUGAAGGGAUACUGAACUUUAUCAAAUGCUUUCUCAACAUCACUUGAAAUAAUCAUAUGUACUUUGUCCAUAUGAUUCAUUUGCAGAUGUUAAAGCAUCCUUGCAUCCCUGGGAUAUAUCCCAGUUGGUCAUGAUGAAAGAUCUUUCUGAUGUAUUGUUGGAUAAAUUUAUCUGAUAAAAUUUUGAAUACCUUCUCUGUGUUAUUUUGAAUUUCUAUGAAUUUCCUCAAAACAGCUAUUUUGAAUUAUCUGUCUGAAUGGUCAUAUAUCCCUGUUUCUCCAGGAUUUGUCCCUGCUGGCUUAUUUAGUUUGGUGAAAUCAUCAUGUUUUCCUGGAUUGUGUUGAUGCUUGUAGAUGUUCUUUGGUGUCUGGGCAUUGAAGAGUUAGGUAUUUAUUGUAGCCUUCACAGUCUGGGCUUGCCUGUGCCUGUCUUACUUAAAGGUUUUCAAGGUAUUCAAAUGGACUUUUUCCCCAAGCCCAAUAAUGCUGUGACUUUGGCAGACUUGUAGAGGUAUUGCCUUGGUGGUCUUGGAUAAGAUCUUAAAGAAUUCUCUGGAUUACCAGACAGAGAUUCUUGUCCUUUUCCCUUAUUUUCUUCCAAACAUAUAGAGUCUCUCUCUCUCUGUGCUGAGCCACUUGAAACUGGGGGUGUGGUGAUGCAGCACCUCUGUGGCCACCACCACUGGGACUUUGCUGGAUCAGACCUGGAGCCAGUACAACACUGGGCCUUGCCUAAGGCCCUUCCCUUGAGGGUGGUGAGCUCCCCCAAGCCCCAUUGAUCAGAAAUGCUGUCUGGGAGCCAGGGACUGGCAUCAAAACCCUCAGCAAUUUACCUGAUGUUCUCUUGUACUGCAGCUAAGCUGGCACACAAACCACAAUAUAAGUUACUUUCCACUCUUUCCUCUCCUUUCCAUGGACACUGGAGCCUCAUUCUGUGGCCAUCUCCACCACUGGUCCACGGAAGGCUGGGGGGCGGCCCACCAGGCUACUACCUUAAGAGCUACUGCCAGCUCUUAAACUCAAGAGCUCUUUUGUCAGUUUGGUGAAAGCUGCAAGGUCUAGAACUCACCUUUGAGGGUAGUGGACUCUCCCCUGGCCCAGUGUAGAUGCAGAAAUGCUGUCCAAAAGCCUACACCUAAACUUGGGGACCUCAAGAGCCUGCUUAUUGCUCUAACCCGCUGUGGUCAAGCUGGUACUUAGCGUGCAAGACAAAGUUCUCUUUAGUUUUUCCUCUGCUUUCCUCAAAUAGAAAGAGACUUUAACUGUAGCCACUACAGCUGGGAAUGUACUGGAUUUCCCCUGGAGCCAAGAUAUCUCAGAGCCCAAGGCCUAUGCCAUCCUCCCUGGGUAUAGCUGGUGAUUACUCGGGGCCCGAGGGCUCUUUAGUCAGUGAGUGAUGAAUCCUGCCAAAACUGAGUCCUUCCCUUCAAGGCAGUAGGUUCCCUUUUGGCCUGGGAUGUGUCUAAAAAUGUCAUCCAAGAGCUAGGACCUGGAAUGUGGGCCUCACAACUCGACCCAGUGUCCUAUUCUGUGGCUGAGCUGGUAUCCAAGAUGCAAGACAAAGUCUUUACUCUUAACUCUGCUUUUCUUAAGCAGAAGGAAAGAGUCACUUUUAUGGCAAAGAGCUGCACUGCCUGGUGUUUGUGAAAGAAUAGUGCAGGCCCUAUCUUACCUGUGUCAGCUGGUGUCUCCCUAAUUCCCAUGCCACCCUAGUCCACUGGCUCUGAGCCCAGCUCAUUUCUGAAGCUGUGGGAAGGACCCAGAGGGAGAUGAUUGAAUUAUGGGAGUGGGUCUUUCCUGUGCUGUUCCUGUGAUAGAGGAUAAGUCUCAUGACAUCUCAUGGCUUUAAAAUGGGAGUUUGCCUGCACAAGCUCUCUCUUUGCCUGCCGCCAUCCACAUAGGAUGUGACUUGCCCCUCCAUGCCUUCUGCCAUGGUUGUGAGGCCUCUCCAGCUACAUGGAUCUGUGAGUCCAAUUAAACCUCUUUAUUUUGCCCAGACUAAGGUAUGUCUUUAUCAGCUGCAUAAAAACAGACUAAUACAAUCACAUUGUACUUUAAUUGUCUGCUUUUUUGUCUAUAUUCCAGGUUUAAUAAUAUUAGGUUCUGUGUUUCACCAGGGAAAAUCACAAUCGAAGAGGAUAUCACAGUCCUGCAAUAUAGUAGCCAUUUAAUAAAUCUUGGUUGAAAUUUGGCAAGUGUGUGUUUGUGUGUGUAUGUGUGUGUGUGUGUUUAUGCACAUGCACAUAUGGGUAUUAAAGUUCAUCUGUUAAACAAUAAAUUCUGGAUAACUGGAAAUUUAACAAGUAGAAUACUAUUGCUUUUAUAGGAGGUGACAAUGACUUCCAAAUAUAUAACUUUCUGAAGUAUUACUCAUAUAUCCUAUGUCUUUAUAUCUCCAAAUGAAUAUCAAAAUUAGCAUGUUAGAAGAACCACCAAUUUCCCCCUCAAGUGCGCCUCAUCCGUCUGUCUCUGAAUAAGAAAAUGAUGCUGCCAUAUAACUGUAGGUCUAUUAUUGCCAUUUCUCUAUCCCUUACUCUAUACCCAUUUCAUGAGCAGGUAGAAGGCUCCACCUUUAAAACACAUUUCAUCCUUGUUUAUUUCUCCCCAUUUGGAUUUAUUAUUCUGCUUGGGCAGCCUUAACAGAAUAUCUCAUACUGGGUGAUAUUCUGUUUAAUCAACAGAAACUUAUUUUCUCACAACUCUGAAGGUUGGACAUCUAAGGUCAAGGUGCCAGGAAGGCUGGUUUCUGCAGAGGCCUGGUGUCCUUGCUUCAGAUGGCCACCUUCUCACUGUGUUCUCAUCUUCACACAGCCUUCCCUCUGUGUGUGUAUAUUCCUGGCUUCUGGUGUGUCUUCCUCCUCUCAUAUGGACACCUUUCCUGUUGGAUUAGAAUUCUACACUUUUACCCUUGUUUAACCUUAGUUAUCUUCUUUAAGGUCUUAUCUCCAAAUAUAGUGACCUUGCCAUUUAGGGCUUCAGUAUAUCAAUUUGGCAGGGGGUACAGGUGUCACAAUUCAUUCCCUAUAGCCUUGUAAUAUGGAUCCCUAUUUUCAUCUUUAACUCACACAGCCCAUUGUUCAUUGGGCAUACAGGUGAUUUUCUUAAGACUUAAUUAGAUGAUAUUAGUUUUUGAUUAGGCCCUCCAGGCUUUCCAAUAACCCUUAGACUAAAACACUAAUAUCUUGGGCUGGCCUAGAAAGCCCAUGUCACUUCUUCCUAACUCUCUAAAUUCAUCCUGGACUACUUUCUCCUUUGUUCACAGACUUAGCUCAUCUUUGCCUCGGUGCUUUUCCAGUCUGGUCCCCAUCUCCAAAGCUCUUCACCCAGACCUUUUGGUUUUCAAGUCUCAGCAUAAAUAUUACUGCUGCAGCCUUUCACUUCCUUAUGUAAGGCGGAUACCACCCAGUGGAAUACAAGCCAUUCUAGCCAUGUUUCAGAUGGCACGUGAUUUUAUUUGUCAGCAAGCUGAGGACCGGAUGAUACAAUCCUGAGAGCUAUACACUAGGGAGAACGAAUGCACCUUGAAAGACUGAAUAUUUAAAAGACGCAAAAUGUCAAUUCGUAAAUAUUUGAGCAUUUGGUUGACAUCUCAUUUCAAGAAUAGAGUUGCCAAAACUGCUUUCACUAAUGAAAAAAGAAAUCUCAGCUCACUUAGAAGAUGAUAACUGCAUGAUAAAUGCACUCAUGGAAAGGAGUGAAAAGAGGAUUUCUGAGACAGGAAUACAGUCUUCAAGAUGAGGAGAG
Molecule: long non-coding RNA, 4070 nt
Filed under: Homo sapiens (human)
Lineage: Eukaryota; Metazoa; Chordata; Mammalia; Primates; Hominidae
Description: HSALNT0232222
Source: RNAcentral